Molecule: non-coding RNA, 31 nt
Filed under: Homo sapiens (human)
Lineage: Eukaryota; Metazoa; Chordata; Mammalia; Primates; Hominidae
Source: RNAcentral
UGAGAUUUUACGUUUCUCAAAGGGUAAAUGC